RNAcentral lists this ribosomal RNA (211 nucleotides) under uncultured bacterium. Its description in RNAcentral is "partial 16S ribosomal RNA". It matches the Rfam family "Bacterial small subunit ribosomal RNA", at positions 46 to 250 of the family's 1533-position model. The record is from RNAcentral.
GCCUAACACAUGCAAGUCGAGCGGAUGACGGGAGCUUGCUCCUUGAUUCAGUCGGCGGACGGGUGAGUAAUGCACUAGGAAUCUGCCUGGUAGUGGGGGACAACGUAAUCGAAAGGAACGCUAAUACCGACAUACGUCCUACGGAGAGAAAGCAGGGAGACCUAUCGGGCCUUGACGCUAUCAGAUGAGCCUAGGUACGGAUUAGCUAGUU